RNAcentral lists this ribosomal RNA (421 nucleotides) under uncultured bacterium. RNAcentral's name for it is "bacterial SSU rRNA". It matches the Rfam family "Bacterial small subunit ribosomal RNA", at positions 29 to 440 of the family's 1533-position model. The record is from RNAcentral.
AACGAACACUGGCGGCGCGCCUAAUACAUGCAAGUCGAGCGAGAAGACGUAGCAAUACGUUUGUAAAGCGGCGAACGGGUGAGGAAUACAUGGGUAACCUACCCUCGAGUGGGGAAUAACUAGCCGAAAGGUUAGCUAAUACCGCGUACGCUCCUUGGACUUCGGUUCAGGGAGGAAAGCGAUACCGUGGGUAUCGCGCUCUUGGAUGGGCUCAUGUCCUAUCAGCUUGUUGGUGAGGUAACGGCUCACCAAGGCUUCGACGGGUAGCUGGUCUGAGAGGACGAUCAGCCACACUGGCACUGCGACACGGGCCAGACUCCUACGGGAGGCAGCAGUAAGGAAUAUUGCGCAAUGGGCGAAAGCCUGACGCAGCGACGCCGCGUGGGGGAUGAAGGUCUUCGGAUUGUAAACCCCUUUCGGG